RNAcentral lists this ribosomal RNA (270 nucleotides) under uncultured archaeon. RNAcentral's name for it is "partial 16S ribosomal RNA". It matches the Rfam family "Archaeal small subunit ribosomal RNA", at positions 477 to 747 of the family's 1478-position model. The record is from RNAcentral.
CUGCAGCCCGAGUGGUGAUCGAUUUUAUUGAGCCUAAAGCAUCCGUAGCCGGCGCUGUAAGUUUUCGGUUAAAUCUGUACGCUCAACGUACAGGCUGCCGGGAAUACUGCAGCGCUAGGGAGUGGGAGAGGUAGACGGUACUCGGUAGGAAGGGGUAAAAUCCUUUGAUCUAUUGAUGACCACCUGUGGCGAAGGCGGUCUACCAGAACACGUCCGACGGUGAGGGAUGAAAGCUGGGGGAGCAAACCGGAUUAGAUACCCGCGUAGUCC